CUCAAAAACCAUUUCACGGUGAAAAGGGAGCCAAUAUCAUUAGCCAGAUGAUGACAAAAGACACCACAAAACAGCCGUAGGAGAUGCUGUGCUGCUGAAGA
RNAcentral lists this long non-coding RNA (101 nucleotides) under Struthio camelus australis. Its description in RNAcentral is "lncRNA (ENSSCUG00000005054.1)". Lineage: Eukaryota; Metazoa; Chordata; Aves; Struthioniformes; Struthionidae. The record is from RNAcentral.